GACGAACGCUGGCGGCGUGCUUAACACAUGCAAGUCGAACGGAAAGGCCCUGCUUUUGUGGGGUGCUCGAGUGGCGAACGGGUGAGUAACACGUGAGUAACCUGCCCUUGACUUUGGGAUAACUUCAGGAAACUGGGGCUAAUACUGGAUAGGAGCUCCUGCUGCAUGGUGGAGGUUGGAAAGUUUCGGCGGUUGGGGAUGGACUCGCGGCUUAUCAGCUUGUUGGUGGGGUAGUGGCUUACCAAGGCUUUGACGGGUAGCCGGCCUGAGAGGGUGACCGGCCACAUUGGGACUGAGAUACGGCCCAGACUCCUACGGGAGGCAGCAGUGGGGAAUAUUGCACAAUGGGCGGAAGCCUGAUGCAGCAACGCCGCGUGCGGGAUGACGGCCUUCGGGUUGUAAACCGCUUUCGCCUGUGACGAAGCGUGAGUGACGGUAAUGGGUAAAGAAGCACCGGCUAACUACGUG
This 468-nucleotide ribosomal RNA is filed under the name uncultured bacterium. RNAcentral's name for it is "partial 16S ribosomal RNA". It matches the Rfam family "Bacterial small subunit ribosomal RNA", at positions 28 to 507 of the family's 1533-position model. The record is from RNAcentral.